RNAcentral lists this long non-coding RNA (3645 nucleotides) under Daucus carota (carrot). Its description in RNAcentral is "long non-coding RNA (DCAR_LNC002391)". The record is from RNAcentral. Lineage: Eukaryota; Viridiplantae; Streptophyta; Magnoliopsida; Apiales; Apiaceae.
AAAUAGAUAGACGGGAAAUGAGCUAUCUAUGUGUGGUGGGUGAAGGUGUAUGGCUGCUGUGUAUGGUGGCUUAGAGUGUGUGAGAAAUAUGAGAGUGUGGAGAAGAAGAUCCUUAAGCCUCUCAUCCUUGGUCUAUUUAUAGGCCAAGGAUUAGGGUUUAAGGAUGUGUACCUUGGAUCCUGCCGUCCAUCUGUAGGGCUUGGAUGCUUAACACCUGUCCAGGUGUCAGCUAAGGAAUAGUAUUUUGGAGUGUUCUGAGGUUUGUCUUCAUAGUGUCAGUAGUUGACCAUUGAGCUUGGAUCCCGGUUCAUAUCCAGACUAAGUUCCGGCAGGACUGGUGUCCACCAACCCGGGUUGAUUGCCUCUCCAGGGUCAUGGAAUUCUCUCCGGGUUGGGUGCACCUCCGGGAUUGCGUCCUUGCAUUGUUGGUCCCUCGAACCAGGGUUGGAGUUAGUCUUGCUCCCGGUUCUUGGCGGGAUUGAGGUAACCCAACGGAUUGGGAUACUUGUCAGGACAUGGUUGAACUAUUCUCACCAAUCCGGAUUCAUGUUCUGGAGUGGGUGGAUUAUUCUCCGCUGGGCCGAAUUCCUCCCGGUGUUGUGCUGAGUCUGGACCAGACUUGGCCAAGGACCUUGAGAAUACGGCCGGGUUGGAUUAUAUACUAUCAUUUGCCCCCCACUCCCUUAUACAGAUUUUCUGUGUGAGGGAGUAGGGAAUAAUGCGAAUCUUGUCUUCGAUCUGGACGAGAAUGGAGUAGGAGUAAAAAUUUGCCACGGCUCCUUAAUUCGGACUGAUCUGGACUAGGAGUAGUAAGUUUCUGUUGCACCCUGAUCUGGGUUGAUAUGGACUAGGGGUAUAAGUAUUCUUUUGCCCCCCAAUCCAGGUUGAUCCGGACAAGAGGUGAAGCUUUGCUUUUUGCCCCCCAGUCCGGGUUGAUCCGGACAAGAAGUGAGAUUUUGCUUUUUGCCUUUGGUCUGGGUUGGUCCGGACAAGGGGAGGUUUUUGCUGUCGUCAUCUGAUCCGGGUCGCUAUAGAUGGUUUCUAAGUAAGAGAUAAGUCAUAACUGGACCGUGGUAGCUUUUGUUUUUUUGCCUAAUAAAAUUUUUCAAGAAUUUUUUUCUAAGUAAGAGAUAGGUCAUAACUAGACCGGGGUAGCAUUUGCUUUAUGCCUUAGAAAAUUUUUCUAAGUAAGAUGAUUGAACCCGGGUAGCUUUUGUUUGUUUGCCUUAGAAAAUUUUUUUCCAAGUAAGAGAUAGCUCAAAAUUGAACCGGGGUAGCUUUUGCUUUUUUGCCUAAGAAAUUUUUUUGAAAAACUGAAAACUUUUUAAAGUAAGAGAUAGGUCAUAACUAGACCGGGGUAGCUUUUGCUUGUUUGCCUUAGAAAAUUUUUUCUAAGUAAGAGAUAGGUCAUGAUUGAACCCGGGUAGCUUUUGCUUGUUUGCCUUAGAAAAUUUUUUCCAAGUAAGAGAUAGCUCAUGAUUGAACCCGGAUAGCUUUUGCUUGUUUGCCUUAGAAAAUUUUUUCCAAGUAAGAGAUAGCUCAAAAUUGAACCGGGGUAGCUUUUGGUUUUUGCCUUGGAAAAUUUUUCUAAGUAGAGAUAAAUCAUAACUGGACCGGGGUAGCUUUUGCUUGUUUGCCUUAGAAAAUUUUUUCCAAGUAAGAGAUAGCUCAUGAUUGAACCCGGGUAGCUUUUGCUUGUUUGCCUUAAAAAAAUUUUUCCAAGUAAGAGAUAGCUCAUGAUUGAACCUGGAUAGCUUUUGCUUGUUUGCCUUUGAAAAUUUUUUCCAAGUAGGAGAUAAUUCAUGAUUGAACUCGGGGUAGCUUUUUGUUUGUUUGCCUUGGAAAAAAAAAAUUCCAAGUAAGAGAUAGAUCAUGAUUGAAGUGGGACUUGCUCAUAAGCCUUUAUUCUUCUAGCUGGAUCCUUCUUUGAAUUUUCUGCUCUAGCUUUUCUCCUUCUUCCCUCCGGAUGUGUUCUGUUUUUUCUUUUUUUUUGGCCAGGAUCUUUCGCCUUGUGGCAUCACUUUUUCUCUACUUCUUUUUCCUUACUUUGUCACCAAUCCGGUCAAAAACGGAACCCCGGGAUUGGCGGGAAUUUUCAAAGUCUUCAAAAUCAGCAAUCAACCCGGGUCCUUUGAGGUUCUCGGCUCGUUGUUCCUGGUAUAACCGGAUUGCUUCGGCCAACUCUAUGUUGGUUAGAUAUGUAACAUGGUCUGCGGUCAUCGGGACAUCGAUGCACUUAACUGGUUCAUUUCAAUUGUGACCCGGGCAUCGUCUAGGUUGAUCCGGGUCUCUUCUGGAUUGAUCCCGAUCAAGAGUGGUUUAGAGAUGAGAUCCUGAUGUGGAUUGUCCUGGUCCACCGGGUUGAACUGCUAGGAUCGGGUUGAUUGGGUUUGGGUUUUUCCACCUCUUGUCAUGAUUAUAGUGAACGAUUUAAACAAGAACUACCCAGGGAGUAUGCUUGCUUUUUGGUGAAAGUGUAUGUGUGCAGUAUAGACAAUAGUGGAAUGAUAGAAAUAGUGUAGGCAGAUAGUCAACUUACUACUUCAAGAAAUGCUAGAAAUAGUUAAAUGACAAAGGUGUAAGGGACUACAGGACAAGGUGUCUUGAUGUACUACAGACAAAGUUAGGGUGCUUCUAGACAGGGUUUGCUAACAUGCACACAACAAAGAGAAUCAUGGCUGAGAGGGUUUUGAGAGAUUUGAGUGCAUUUUGAAGCUUACAGGGUUGAAUCGGGACUCCCUUUUCGGGAGUUUGCUGAUGAAGAUGAGUCCAGUGGCACCGUGACCACAGGACGGAGAAUACAACCUCCCCCUCCUUCUAGCGCCAACUGAUAACGCCAAAUCCCGUUCCGGUGCUUCCUCCGUCGUGUACUGGUGUCUUGCGGUGUAGCUGCUGGACGGGUGUCUGCAAAACAACACCGGAGGGGGGUUUGAGCCCCGCGGCGCCUCCGGCGUGAGAAUGAGUACAGGCGUCGGAAAAUAGAUAGACGGGAAAUGAGCUAUCUAUGUGUGGUGGGUGAAGGUGUAUGGCUGCUGUGUAUGGUGGCUUAGAGUGUGUGAGAAAUAUGAGAGUGUGGAGAAGAAGAUCCUUAAGCCUCUCAUCCUUGGUCUAUUUAUAGGCAAAGGAUUAGGGUUUAAGGAUGUGUACCUUGGAUCCUGCCGUCCAUCUGUAGGGCUUGGAUGCUUAACACCUGUCCAGGUGUCAGCUAAGGAAUAGUAUUUUGGAGUGUUCUGAGGUUUGUCUUCAUAGUGUCAGUAGUUGACCAUUGAGCUUGGAUCCCGGUUCAUAUCCAGACUAAGUUCCGGCAGGACUGGUGUCCACCAACCCGGGUUGAUUGCCUCUCCAGGGUCAUGGAAUUCUCUCCGGGUUGGGUGCACCUCCGGGAUUGCGUCCUUGCAUUGUUGGUCCCUCGAACCAGGGUUGGAGUUGGUCUUGCUCCCGGUUCUUGGCGGGAUUGAGGUAACCCAAUCCGGAUUGGGAUACUUGUCAGGACAUGGUUGAACUAUUCUCACCAAUCCGGAUUCAUGUUCUGGAGUGGGUGGAUUAUUCUCCGCUGGGCCGAAUUCCUCCCGGGGUUGUGCUGAGUCUGGACCAGACUUGGCCAAGGACCUUGAGAAUACGGCCGGGUUGGAUUAUAUACUAUCA